AGUCAUUGUAGCGAUACAAGGCAGACGGCUCAGUAACGCGUAGUCAACCUAACCUAUGGACGGGGAUAACCUCGGGAAACUGAGAAUAAUACCCGAUAGAACAUUAUGCCUGGAAUGGUUUAUGUUUCAAAUAAUUUAUUGCCGUAGGAUGGGACUGCGGCCUAUCAGUUUGUUGGUGAGGUAAUGGCCCACCAAGACUAUUACAGGUACGGGCUCUGAGAGGAGUAGCCCGGAGAUGGGUACUGAGACACGGACCCAGGCCCUAUGGGGCGCAGCAGGCGAGAAAACUUUGCAAUGUGCGAAAGCACGACAAGGUUAAUCCGAGUGGUUUCUGCUAAAGGAACCUUUUGUUAGUCAUAGAACCACUAAUGAAUAAGGGGUGGGCAAGUUCUGGUGUCAGCCGCCGCGGUAAAACCAGCACCUCAAGUGGUCAGGAUGAUUAUUGGGCCUAAAGCAUCCGUAGGCUGCUUUGUAAGUUUUCGGUUAAAUCCAUACGCUCAACGUAUGGGCCGCCGGGAAUACUGCAAAGCUAGGGAGUGGGAGAGGUAGACGGUACUCGGUAGGAAGGGGUAAAAUCCUUUGAUCUAUUGAUGACCACCUGUGGCAAAGGCGGUCUACCAUAACACGUCCGACGGUGAGGGAUGAAAGCUGGGGGAGCAAACCGGAUUAUAUACCCGGGUAGUCCCAGCUGUAAACGAUGCAGACUCCUGUGAUGCGCUGGCUUGUGGCC
RNAcentral lists this ribosomal RNA (730 nucleotides) under uncultured archaeon. RNAcentral's name for it is "bacterial SSU rRNA". It matches the Rfam family "Archaeal small subunit ribosomal RNA", at positions 56 to 791 of the family's 1478-position model. The record is from RNAcentral.